ACACGACUACAUUAGAUACCCGUGUAGUCCAGGGUGUAAACGCUGCGGGCUUGGUGUUGGGGGGUCCUUUGAGGGCGCCCAGUGCCGGUGAGAAGUUGUUAAGCCUGCUGCUUGGGGAGUACGUCCGCAAGGAUGAAACUUAAAGGAAUUGGCGGGGGAGCACCGCAACGGGAGGAGCGUGCGGUUCAAUUGGAUUCAACGCCGGACAACUCACCAGGAGCGACGGUUACAUGAAGGCCAGGCUGAUGACCUUGCCUGAUUUUCCG
RNAcentral lists this ribosomal RNA (266 nucleotides) under uncultured archaeon. Its description in RNAcentral is "partial 16S ribosomal RNA". It matches the Rfam family "Archaeal small subunit ribosomal RNA", at positions 719 to 982 of the family's 1478-position model. The record is from RNAcentral.